This 473-nucleotide ribosomal RNA is filed under the name uncultured beta proteobacterium. RNAcentral's name for it is "bacterial SSU rRNA". It matches the Rfam family "Bacterial small subunit ribosomal RNA", at positions 255 to 719 of the family's 1533-position model. The record is from RNAcentral. Lineage: Bacteria; Pseudomonadati; Pseudomonadota; Betaproteobacteria.
AGGUAAAGGCUCNACCAAGGGACGAUCCGUAGUUGUUCUGAGAGGACAACCAGCCACACUGGAANUGAGACACGUUCCAGACUCCUACGGGAGGCAGCAGUGGGGAAUUUUGGACAAUGGGCGAAAGCCUGAUCCAGCCAUACCGCGUGAGUGAAGAAGGCCUUCGGGUUGUAAAGCUCUUUCAGCCGGAAAGAAAUUGCACUUNUUAAUACGAAGUGUAGAUGACGGUACCGGAAGAAGAAGCACCGGCUAACUACGUGCCAGCAGCCGCGGUAAUACGUAGGGUGCGAGCGUUAAUCGGAAUUACUGGGCGUAAAGCGUGCGCAGGCGGUUUUUUAAGUCAGAUGUGAAAUCCCCGGGCUCAACCUGGGAACUGCAUUUGAAACUGGAAGACUAGAGUAUAGCAGAGGGAGGUAGAAUUNCCACGUGUAGCAGUGAAAUGCGUAGAUAUGUGGAGGAAUACCAAUGGCGAA